UUUUUUUUUUUUUUUGGUUUCAUCCUUUGGGUCCAUAGCGUUGACAGGUCCUGCUUCGUUUGGCUGUAGAUUACAAAUCUAAUUGCUUUAGGGUUUUGUCUUUUUGCCGAUUUUGGGGAUGGUUGAUCUUUCAAUUGAAUCCUCAAUCUGAUUGCUGACAUUAGAAUGUUCAUUCCAGUUUUGUCUUAAUUCCCAUCUAGUUGGUGAAAGGGUUUAGAUUUUGCUUGAAAUUUAUGCUUCAGAUGCGUUGAAGUUGUACUGUUUAUAAUUCUGUGUUGUACUUGGAUUCAAAGUUGUUGCCUUUACAUGUCAUAUAUCUGUUUUGGCUAUUUCAUGCCUCACCAUUGAAUCCUUCGUUUCAGGCCAAUCAACCAUUUACGAGAGCUAUCUUUCAGGCCUGAGUUCACUUAAAGGGUCCCUGCUUGGUUUGCUUAUGAGACUGACUAUUGUUUGUGGAGUUGAAUAAUAUCUGCAAAUGUCAAGUCUUCUUAAUGUACUGCAACAUAUCCUUUAUAUCAAUGUGUUGCAGUAUUACUAAUCUAGCUUCUAGGAUUUAUUCAUGUCUAUCAUUCCUCUGACUAGUGGUAGUUCCAGUCCUCAAAUUUAUCAGACUGUUCAGGGAGAACGUUUAUUUUUAGAAAAUAAUGCAAAAAUGACCCCUUUCUUUGGCUCUCCCUCUCAAUUUUCAUUUUUGAUUCUCAUUUGCAGAUAUAUCACUGUAGCUCUCUUGGAUACUCAGGACUCUCUAGUAGGGGAGGUAUAACUGUUGGAAACUGUAGAUGGGUCUGGCACAGCGGUGGAGUCAGGUUGUCGUUUCCAAGAGUUGAGUCUUCAUCCAUGAGUAUAAACAUUGCAAUGGGUUGUACGUUUCAGCAUGGGAGAGCAAAAAGCUUAAGUCAGGAAAACGUAGUGGAGUUAUCUGAUGAAAACGAUGAUCUAUGUCCUGUGGAGUGUGUCACUGAGUUCAAGACCGAUGAUGAAUUGCUUAGAGUCCUUGAAAAGUCGAAAGAAACUAAUUCUCUGGUCGUGGUUGAUUUUUAUCGCACUGCUUGUGGGAGUUGUACAUACAUAGAGCAGGGCUUCUCAAAAGUGUGCAAGCAAUCUGGUGACCAAGAAGCUCCUGUUAUCUUCCUUAAGCAUAAUGUGAGUAUUUGAUUUCUCAUCUUCGAUUCAAACAAGCGAGAAGUAGUGAAAAAGUCCAUUAAUAGCUCAAAUGCUAUUUGCAGGUGGUAGAUGAAUAUGAUGAACAAUCUGAAGUCGCAGAAAGGCUCCGUAUCAAGUAAUCCCUCUUUAGAAUUUUGGUCGCUAACAACACUAAAAAAAACGAAUCGUGAGUUUGAUAUACUACAAUCUUGCAGAUUAAUAAGUCCGAGAUAGAGCAUGGUUAAAAGUGUUCUGAGGGGCUGCUCACAUGAAGUCUUUCAAGCUUGAAUCAAGGUGGAGAAUGUUGAAGUAUGAUCCAACCUUGAGACUCAUUUAGCAUGUUGGAGAGAGCUAAGUCAGAACGUUUUGAAAGAAGAUUAAGAAGAAGCUACUGGUGGAAAGAGAGGGUCUCAAGUCAUAGAAUAAAGAGUCACGUGAGUGGAGGUGAGAAGAAACGACACGAUGCCGUUUUAGCUCUAUAAGAGAGACUCAAAGCUUCUUCUUCACAUACAGUACCAGACGAGAAGAUUCAAGAUUCUUAUUCUCAAUUUUCUGGGUUUCUUGGUGAGAGUUAGAGAGAGAGAGAAGUGAGAGAGAGUAAUUCUCAGGUCCUUCUUGUUCUUUAUCUUCUUAUUCUUCGUCUUCUUAGAUAGAGAGAGUUAGUGUGAGGGAUCUCCAUUGAAGAGCACCAUUGUAACCUCUUGAAACAUUGGAUAGUGGAUUCGGCUUGUGAGGAGCAAUACCUCACCGAGACGUACCUCAAAGUUGCGGUUUGCAACAGAGGGAACUCGUAAAUCUCUUGUGUCCUUAGUUUAUGUUUUAUCACGUAAUCGCAAUAAUCGAAGAAAGCAAAUCAGUGUGAAAUUGAGUCUGAUUUCCAACAGUGAUGUUGGUUAUUCAAAAUCUGGGUUUUGGUUAUUCAUAAUUGUUGUUAUUAACUUGAUUAAACAAGAACAGAGGUAUUGUUUAUGAACAAAGGUUUGUUCUUUCAUUGAAUCUGUCGGCUUUAUGAUGAAAAGUGUUGUUUAUGAAGAUUUUUUCAAAUUCGAUUUGGGUUUUCUCAGUUUGUUGUGAUUUUUUGAUUGAUUGUGGUCUUGAGAGUUUCUUAAUUUUGAUAUCAUAAUUAAGAAUUUUCUUUUGAAUGAUUUGAAGGUUUCUCUUGAGGAUUGUACCUUGAACAAUGAAGAAGCUUUCACUUUCUAGGAAUGCUCUCUGCUCAAAGUGUAACGGUUAGUACAUUCGUUCACUCGACGUCAUUCUUUUAAUACGUUUUUCGGUGUAGCUUUGAAUUAGCUGAAGCUUGAACUUUAUUUUGAUGGCCUAAACUGGUGGUUCUAUGAGCAACAUGCCACACUUUGAACCUUAUACAUGAUUCUUCAGUUUUUAAAUUUGACAAUUAAGUCGUAGAUUUGGAUUUUGCUCUAUAAUGGUAUUGGUUGGUUUGUUCUGUUUUCAUCUAUCUAAUGAUACUUACAUUGUGGACUGCUGGAUUCAGCCAAAGCUACUUACUUGAUUUGAAUCUAGAAUGAAAUUAGGAUUAGCUUCUGAUUGUAAACUAUGUUUGUUAGUGGUAUUGCAGUGUUCUCUCUCUUUUGAUCUAAUCUUUAGCUCGUUCUUGAAUUCUAUAAUGGUUUUAGGAUUGAAAAAGUUGUGUGUAUGGAGAUAAUUGCCUCUAAAAUGUCUUAUUCUCUAAAUUGCCGCUUAUUAUUUUUACAGAAGUUUAGAAAUUGCCGCUGUUUUUUUAGAAAAUUUGUUUAGCGAAUAUAUCCCAUUAAUUUCGGUUGGUUUUACCACAACUAUUAAUACCCAUAACCUCUUAUGUUAACCCUAAUUUUUAUUUAGCGAUCCCCACUCCACAGGUUCUUUACUACUCUUCACGUCUCACCACCGUAACUCUUCUUUUCUACAGGUAAUUUUAUUACUUUUUUGAUCAUAAAACUGGCUUUGUUGAUGAAUUUUCUUGUUAAUUUCGAACUUUGUAACUGAGUUUCUUUAUCUAUUUCAUGAACUCAUGUAGACAUGGGGACUUGGGAUGACUAUAUGGCUUAUAGACGAAGGAUGGACCAAAACCUAUUGGGAUCGAGUUCUCAACAGAUGAGUGACUCCCCUACAGAUGCUGGAGAACCGUCUAGAGUACCUGAGACGCCUACAAAUGGACAAAGCUCAACGGAUCCAGCAGAUUUAUUGACUCUGGACCAAUUGCUUCGAUCUGCAGGCCGUGCAAGCCUAAAAAAACUUGAUCCGAGAAGAAUGAAUGGUGAUGGAUGGUAAAUUCCACUUAAACUUCUGUUUUAAUUCUGUAACUUUAUUCUCUGAGUUUUUGUUCUCUUAGUAAGAUUAGAGAAAAAAUGUGGUCCGUGAAUGACUUGAAUGUGUUGUCAUGAUAGAUUAGUUUAUGUUGAAUUAGAAGUCAACGAAACCUAACAUGGCUUUUUUUUUUCUUAAUCUAAGAUAGUAGAUUCAUUACAGCCGAGUUUGAUUAUUCUAUGUGCAAACACUAUGUCUAAGCCACUUAAUUAGUUACAAAGUUUACACUAUGUCUAAGCCACAUAAACAGAGCUAUUAGAACAAGCGUAUCAUUGAUUUAUAUUUAUGAUCAUUAGCGUUGAUUUCCUGUUUAUAUAACUACUCUUAUAUUUAUUAACAUACAAGGUUUGAAUACACCAAGGGGAUUACUAAGGCUGUGAAAAAAAUUGUGGAGAGCGAUUUCAAAGAAGUGGCUCCUAAUUGGUCAACACUCUCAAGCGAUACCAAGUUACGUUGGUUCAAAGCAUUUGCGGUAUGUUUUUUCAAUAUUUGUUUUGUCAAAGUCUUUAUAAUUAGUGUUACUAUUUAGACAUUGUUAUCUAUUUGAUUUUCAUUCUUUUUAUUUGAUCUUGUAGCAAAAGUAUAAUUGGUGUUAUGAGAUAACAACACUUGUUCAACAUGAGUUUGAGACUUUGUGUGCAUCUCGUUUGCUGGGAUAUGUCCAUGAAUGGAGAAAGGCAUGGAAGCAAGACAAGGGGAAGCCCCAAUGGAUGUUAAACUCUGUUUGGAUUGGUCUUAUUGCUUUCUGGGAAAACGAGAAAAGCAUCAAGAGAAGCAAAACCAACUCCAAAAAUAAGAAGAGCGAUCGUGGUGGCUUAGGGAUAGCUAAGCACACAUGUGGGUCAAUGCCAUAUGUCCGGAGAAGAGAAGAGAUGGUAAUUUGUUUUAUUUUUUGCAUUCGAUAUAGUUUCUAUCAAAUUCAGUCCAAGUUUUCUAUAAUGACAUAUUUGUGUGUUUCAAAACUGUUUAGCGUGAUAAGGUGACAGGAGAGCUCCCAGAUAUGGUUACUUUUAUGGAAGCAACCCAUAAGAGAAAGUCUGAUGGUGUAUUUGUGUGCAAAAAAGCUGAGUUGAUCGCCAAAAAAUGUCGAAACAUGGAGCACCAAAUUCUUAGUCAAAGAGACAAUGAUGAUGGUGACACUUUGGACACUAACCAUCUUACACAAGAAGAAAUUGAUGCCAUUUACCAAGGGGUAAAAUGCUGAAACUUCUAUUAUUUUUUUAAUUAUACUUCAUGUGUUUUUUUUUUAACCAUACUUUAUGUUUUUAAUACUUUUUUCUUAUGUGAAUUGUAACAUGCAAUUUUGAAAUUCCAGGAAGUUCAAGUGAAGAAAGGCAAGAAAUUUGGCUAUGGUUCAAUUCCGGAAGCUGAUCCUAGUGUUGAUGCAUCUCCAAAUUAUGAAGAAAUGUAUCUUGAGACUCAAGAAAAGCUCCAGAAAUCGGACCAAGUGAUUGAGGGAAUGCUGCUGAAGUUUAAAGAUGUUGAUUUUUGGAUUACUAUGAUGCAGAACAAGUUUCCAAAUGAAGUUCCACUUUCCAUGAUAACAACAAUGAACACCAAUGGUGGUCUUUGAAUUCAAUUAGUAAUUUGGUUUCAUUAAGACUUUAAGCAUUUAGGAUUGUUUUUCAAUAUUAUGUUUGGAUGUUUAAGUGUUUUGAGAUUUUAAAAUGUUUACUUAUUAUGAUUUUUAAUUUUAUUAUUUAUUUUUAUUUCUAUUUAUUUCUUAAUUUUAUAAUAUUUUUUUAUUAAAAAUUACCUAAAAAAUAUAUUCCAACAAAAAGUUGAUAAAUGGUUCAUGAGACAUUUUGUUGGAAACUUAGUAGAAUAUAUCAACAUAUUUUCAACGAUUAAUUUCUGAUAAAAUUCCAACAAUUAAAUCAUCAGAAGUUUUUCACAAAUUUACAAGAAAAAUAGCAAUAAAUUUUCAACAAUUAAAUUAUCAAUAAAUUUCUAUGAAGUUCCAACAAAUAAGGCGUCGGAAAUUUCUCACACGUUUCCAAGAAAACAUUUCAACAAAGUUGCAACAAAUAUGUUAUUAGUAGUUUCCCAUAAACAAACUUUCAGAAUUGUUGAAUAUUUGUGAUAAAUUAUCAAUGACAUUCCAACAAAAUAUAUGUUAGAACAUUUCGUUAGAAACUUCACGGUAAAUUCCAACAAAUAUCCAACAAAAAUAUUAUCAGAACUAUCCAACAAAUUGGUCAUAGAAUAACUCGAUGGAAACAUUUCCAAUAAAUUCGUGACAAAUGUAGAUUUUCAACGAUCAUAUUCUAACAAAUAUAUGUUCUAUUGAAAAUUUAUUGGAAACAUAUAAUUCCUACAAAUUAACAACAUAGAUGGCUGUUGGAAUUUAGCUUUUUUCUUGUAGUGUGUUGGUUAAGUUUUUUGUUUACUUAAUUAUGUAUAUAUGUAUUAUUAUUUGAUCCGAUUGUCUUCUUUGCUUAAUUAUGUGCAGGAACUCCUCUGAAAUCUAGUGGUGUCGGCAAAGAAGAAAAGGAAAGGAAUCUGGUUCUCUGUUGCUUUAAUGUAGGGUUGUAUUGCUUUAUUUUAUUCGAAUUUACUAAACCAUUUUAUGUGGUCACAAUAUUAUUGGUACUUUAUUUUUUGUGGUCACAAUGUAUUUGUGUACUUUAUGACUUUGUUGUAUUGUCACAAUUUCUCUUAUAUAUAUAUAUAUAUAUAUAUAUAUAUAUAUAUAUAUAUAAGUUUUGUUUGUGUUCAAUACAAAACAUACUUCUCAUAUUUCUAUUACAAAACUCUUCUCAUAUUUCUCAAUCUCCUCUCAAUACAAAUUUGUCAAUCUUCUUCCUAGUACUAAAAUUUGUCAAUUUCCUCUCAUUACAAAUUUAUUUGUCAAUUACCAUUACCAUUACCAAAACUUAUAAUUUCUCAAUCUCGUCAAUUACCGUUACCAUUACCAAAUCUCUUUUAAUUGUUUUCUUCUCAAAAUUUCUUGUACCUUUUAUUCUUCUAAAUUUCUCUAAUUUCUUCUAACUUUCUUGGACGUUUUCUUCUUCUAAAUUUUUUCUUGUAGGUUGCUUUUUAUUUUUUUUAAUUUCUUGUGUAAACAGAGUUUGAAUUUUUUUAUGAGUUUCUUUUAAGUUUCCUCUUCUGAAUUUAUGUUAACUAUUUAUAACUAAACUUAUAAUUUAAGUAUUCAAAAAAAUAUCUUUGUUUAAGUUUUCCUUCUGAAAAAACAAAUAAUGGCAUCUCAUUCUAAUGAUGAUGACACUUUUGAUGAUAUUAUGGAGGAAAGGUUUGAAAAAUGUUUUAAAGAUGGUUUAGAUAAUUACAGUAGACGUGUAGCGGAAAAAAAAGAGAAAAAAAGCUGCUAAUAUAGAAAGAGAAGGAAAUGUUCUAUUAUGGAACGAUUACUUUUCGGAUGAUCCCGUUUACCAUAAUUCCAUGUUCUGACGACGAUUUAGAAUGAGCAAUCCGUUGUUCGUUCGUAUUGUUCAAAGUCUUUGUCAAUUUUCAUAUUUCCAACAAAGGGGGGAUGCUUCUGGAAAGCAAGGUCUAUCUUCCCUACAGAAAUGUAGAGCCGUAAUUCGACGUCUGGAAUAUGGUCUUGCAAACGAUGUGAUGGACGAAUACCUCUGCCUGGGGACAACCAUUGUGAGCUAAGCCCUAGAGCAUUUUGUAGAUGACAUAAUAAAUUUAUUCCAAAAUGAGUAUUUGUGGAGGCCUAAACUUGAGGAUCUCCAACGAUUACUCCAUUCUAGAAAGGAACGCGGAUUUCCGGAGAUGGUAGGAAGCAUUAAUUGUAUGCAUUGGGAGUGGAAGAAUUGUUCUACGGCUUAGAAAGGCCAGUAUUCACGCGGACAUGGAAAACCCACUAUCGUUUUAGAGGCCAUGGCAUCACAAGAUCUAUGGAUUUGACAUGCUUUUUUUGGGGCUCUGGGUACAUGCAAUGAUAUAAAUGUUCUUGACCGCUCACCGGUGUUUGAUGAUAUAUUAGAAGGUCGAGCUCCACGAAUCAGUUACGAAGUCAAUGGACAUUAAUACAAAAUAGCUUAUUACCUCACAUAUGGUAUAUAUCCGAAGUGGGCAACAUUCAUCCAAUCAAUUCUCCGAUCACAAGGACCGAAAGCAUCAUUAUUUGCUAGUUGUCAAGAAGCAGUGAGAAAAGAUGUCGAGCGUGCUUUUGGAGUCUUGCAGGUUCAGUUUGCUAUUGUUCGAAACCCAGCUCUAUUUUGGGAUAAAGAGCGAAAGGCAAGAUAAUGAGAGCAUGUACCAUAUUGCACAAUAUGAUUGUAGAAGAUGAAUGAGACCAAGAGACUCAGUUCGAUUUAUCUGAUUUUGUACAAGACGAAGGGAGCGGGACUUCUUAUGUGAACUACUCUUUUUCUACAAAGAUAUCUACAUAUGUGAACAAUAUGAUGGCCAAUCGAGCUCAAAUUCGUCAAGAAAAAAUGCAUCGCAAUUGAAAGAAGAUUUGAUUGAGCAUAUUUGGCAAAAAUGGGGCCUAAGGUAAUUGACUCGUGGCGACUAAAUUAUCUUUAUUGUUGGGGUCGGAUCCCACACAUCUUCGGUAGGAUCCACUUGGAUCUGUCCACGUCAUUAUUACAUAAUAAUCCUCUUGGAAUUAAAAAUAUUUUAUUAUAAGAAUCGAGCUUAACCAGUCGGGAGUUCGGUUCGGUCCAGUAGAAGAGCUCGAUCCUUGCCAAUAUGGAGUUAGCUCUUAUUCGACAGACAGUUCGCAUAGAGAAAGGCCGAAGCGAGGAGAAUAUUGUUUGAGGCUCGCGGUAGCAUCAAGACGCGGGAGUUCGGAGUCAGCAAGAAAGAGUUCGGAAGAUCCACGCGAAGCCCAAGAUAGUUCAAAUUCAAGCCGUUUCGGUCAAAUUGUAACGUACAAGAUUAAUGCGGAUCAAUGCGAUUAUGAGCAGUAAAUGACCGCAUUGAUCAUGUUUUCUCUAUAAAAACAACUUCAAACGCAUGUGUUUGGAGGAGGAAUCUUUUGACUGAUUACUUCUAAGCAAUACAAUAUACUUUCUUUCUUUAUUACUUUCGCAAGGCAUUUUGUACUUCGUUCUUGUCAAAUUUCUUUACUUCCUUUCUUGGUUAUUUUCCCUUUCGAAUUCUUAUAUUCAUUUUUGCUGAUUUUACAAGAGUUUUUCUCCACUGAAAUACUUAAAGACAAUCGAGUGUGAAUCCUACAUCCACAUGUUGGCGCCGUUUGUGGGGAGCUACCACAAAACUCUUUGAUCACAAAAUCUUUCUUUCCCAAACCAAGAAACUAUGGUUGAGCAGCCAGCAUUGAGCGAUGCAAUCGCCUUGCUCUCUUCCGAGUUAACAAUUAUAUGGAGGCGGAGGAAGAAAAACUUAGUCUCGCUAAGAAGCAUCGGCCACCUAAAUUAGUCGUCGCAAAUCCAACACAAAAGUUCGAACUUAAAGAUCAAAAAAGGUUCGGAGUUAAUCCUGCUACUAAUGCUGUAGGGAAACCCUCCCCAAGUAGAGGAAGACACAAUCCUCCUAAUACUUGGGUUAGAGAUGAAAGUGCCUAUUGCGAUAUUCACAGAGUAAACGGGCACUCCACCAAAGAUUGUAGCGUACUCAAAAAGCACUUCACCGAACUGUGGACAGCUGAAGAGCUCGCUAAUUUCAAUAUAGAGGAAUUUGUUGAGUCUUAUCACAAAGAAAAAGAAGAAUACGAAUCUUCUAAUCCUCCUGAAAAGAAACAUAAGCCCAAUGGGCCUGGAACUCCGAACACUCCUAAGAAAAGGAUCGAUGUUAUAAUGGGAGGAUCCAAAUUAUGCCGAGAUUCGAUCAGAUCAAUCAAAAGGCAUAAGAAAUCAGCAGCAAUUCAAACUGCUAUGGGUUUUUAGUCAAAUGAACAAAUACCUUCUAUCUCUUUUGACAAUUCGGACACUCAAAGAGUAACAGGGCCUCAUGACGAUGCUCUUGUGAUAACCUUAGAUGUUGCGAACUUCGAAGUGACAAGGUAUCUAAUUGAUACUGGAAGUCGGUAGAUCUCAUAUUUCUGAGCACUUUGCAAAGAAUGGGAAUCAGUAAAGCCGACAUUAUUGGUCCACAGGCACCAUUAGUAGCUUUCACGAGUGACACAUCCAUGUCCUUAGGAAACAUAAAACUACCAGUGCUCGCCGCAGGUGUUCCAAAAAUUGUAGAAUUUAUUGUUUUCGACCGACCGGCCGCUUAUAACAUAAUUCUCGGAACUCCAUGGAUAUACCAAAUGAUGGCCAUUCCUUCAACUUAUCACCAAUGUGUGAAAUUUCCGACUCCCGGAGGAAUCGGAACCAUUCGAGGAGAUAAGGAAACGUCGCAUUCUUGCUACCUCAUGGGACAUCGUUUAAAGCUCAAAUAACAAUUAAUGAUAAAUGCGAAGCAAAAAAACACCUCCCGUUACCCAAGUGGUCUCAGUUCGAAUGAAGUUACCACAAAAGUUGAAAUUGAUUCCGAAUUUCCAGAUCGAAAAGUAAAAAUCGGUACUACUUUAGAUUCAGAAAUCAAAAAUCAAUUGUUAACAUUUCUAAAAGAAAAUAAACAUACUUUUGCCUGGUCGGCAAAAGAUAUGCCCGGAAUCGACAAAAGUAUCAUUACCCAUGAUUUAAACGUCGAUCCCAGUUUUAAGCCAAUAAAGCAAAAAAGAAGAAAACUGGAUCCUGACCGAGCUCAAGCGGUCAAUGACGAAGUCGAUAAUCUUUUGAAACUUGGUUCUAUUAGAGAAGUAAAGUACCCGGAUUGGUUAGCGAACCCCGUGGUAGUCAAAAAGAAAAAUGGAAAGUGGAGAGUAUGUGUCGAUUUCACCGACAUUAACAAAGCAUGUCCGAAAGACAGCUUUCCUCUCCCUCAUAUUGAUCGGCUUGUAGAAUCAACAGCCGGAAACGAACUCUUGCCAUUCAUGGAUGAAUUUUCUGAAUAUAAUCAGAUCAUGAUGAAUCCCGAAGACGAAGAGAAAACGUCCUUCAUAACAGAUAGAGGAAUCUACUGUUACAAAGUUAUGCCAUUCGGUCUAAAGAUGCCGGGGCAACAUACCAGCGUUUAGUUAACAAAAUGUUCGCGCAACAUUUGGGCCAAAGGAUGGAAGUUUAUAUUGAUGAUAUGCUCGUGAAAUCUCUUAAGAAAUCCGAGCACAUCACUCAUCUUGAGAAAUGUUUCAAAAUUUUGAAUGAAACUAAAUCCAGCUAAAUGUUCUUUUGGUGUUCCUUCCGGAGAAUUCCUAGGUUAUAUAGUCACGGAAAGAGGAAUAGAAUCAAAUCCCAAUCAGAUUAACGCUUUCCUCACAAUGCCUUCACCAAAAAACAUUAAAUAGGUCUAGCGAUUGACGGGCAGAAUUGCUGCGUUGAAUCGUUUCAUCUCGAAAUCCACCGAUAAAUGUCUCCCUUCUUAUCAAAUUUUAAAAGGAAAUAAGAAAUUUCGGUGGGAUGAUCAAUGCGAAGCAACUUUUGAUCAACUCAAAACUUAUUUAACAACACCACCGGUUCUCUCAAAACCCGAGUCAGAUGAGAAAUUUUAUCUUUACAUCUCGGUUUCUAAUCAUUCCGUAAGUGGGGUCUUAGUUCGAGAGGAUCGAGGUGAUCAAAAGCUGAUUUUUUACAAAAGUAAAUCUCUUACCAGUCCGGAAACGAGAUAUACAAUGAUGGAAAAAUUAGCUUUAGCAGUGGUCGUAUCCGCUAGGAAACUCACACCAUAUUUCCAAUCUCAUCCGAUAAAAGUCUUAACUUCUCAUCCACUUCGCUCAAUUCUUCACAGACCAAGUCAGUCCGGUAGAUUUGCGAAAUGGGCUAUCGAACUCAGUGAGUACGAUAUAGAAUAUAAAAGUCGAACUAGUGCAAAAGCACAAGUUCUGGCUGAUUUUCUAACCGAACUGCCGUUAGAUUAUGGAACCUUUAUCGAAACAGAUUCUACAUGGAAAUUACAUGUAGAUGGCUCUUUUUCUAAACAGGGAUCCGGAAUCGGUAUUUGGCUUGAAACUCCGACAAAAGAAAUAAUCGAACAAUCAUUUCGAUUAAUGUUCCCGGCCUCGAACAACGAGGCGGAAUACGAAGCUCCCUUAGCAGGACUUCGGCUUGGUCUUGCAAUAGCAGAAAAAAUAAUAGCUUACUGUGAUUCUCAGCUAGUUGUAAACCAGUUCGCUGGAGAUUACGAAGCUAAGGCACCUCGAAUGGAAGCCUACCUUUCAGCCGUCAAAAAGUUAGCUGGAAGAUUCAAAGAAUUCGAAUUAGUUCGAAUACCUCGAGGCGAGAACACUUCGGCAGACGCUUUCGCUGCCCAAGUUUCUACCUCAGAUCCCGAACUUAAGCGAGUGAUUCCAGUUGAAUGUAUUACUUCACGAAGUAUUUCGGAUGAAGAUAAUGUUUUGGAGGUCGAGCAUAUCGAAACUCCAGAAUUAAAUAUCGAUAGCAAGAACAGUUCGCUUGUUGUCACUAGAUAUCGAGCAAAGUCUCAAGAUGUCGAGCUUACUCCACAAACAGAACUUCCUAAAAGAAAGCCGAGAAGAAAAAUAAAAGAUCAAGAGGUUCCCAUUAAAGAACCAUCUCGAGCUGAACAGUCACUUCCGGAUAUCACAAAUAAUGAAGAAGUUCUGGUAAAUGAUCCUGAUAUUCCUUCCGAGUCAGAACCAAGGAAGUUUAUACUCAAGGAUAAUACCUCCGCUAAUGAUUGGGAGGCUGACUGGAGUGUACCCAUCAAAAAUUUCAUUCUUAAUGGAGAACUACCAUCAAAUAAAUGACAAGCUCGCAAAUUAAGAAUCAUCAGCGCUAAGUAUUGUAUAAUUAAAGAGUCAUUGUACAAGCGAGGCGUCAGUGAUCCUUAUCUAUUAUGUAUUUUCGGGCCCGAAGUUGAAAUAGUGACAAGCGAGGUCCACGAAGGGCUUUACGAUAGUCAUUCUUCGGGACGAGCAAUGGCUUUCAAAAUCAAACGACUAGGAUAUUUCUGGCCAACUAUGAUUUCUGAUUGCAUCGAUUAUGCCAAAAGGUGUAAAAAGUGUCAAAUGCACGCUCCUCUUAUUCACCAGCCAUCUGAAUUUCUAUUAUCUAUAUCCGCUCCAUACCCUUUCAUGAGAUGGUCAAUGGAUAUAGUUGGCCCGAUGCAUCGCUCAACGCGAGGCGUCCAAUACUUAUUAGUUUUAACGGACUAUUUUUCCAAAUGGAUCGAAGCUGAAGCUUACGUAAAUAUACAAGAUUAUGUGGUAAAGACAUUCUUGUGGAAACACAUUAUUUAUCGCCAUGGAGUUCCUUACAAAAUAGUAACGGACAAUGGUCCACAGUUCAUUUCAAAUGAAUUUGAAGAUUUUUGUUCCUCUUGGGGGAUAAAACUUAGCUAUUCAACGCCGAGGUAUCCUCAAGGGAAUGGGCAAGCGGAAGCUUCCAAUAAAACUAUUCUCAGCAAUCUUAAGAAACGUCUGAAUGCUCGAAAAGGUGGUUGGUAUGAUGAGCUGCAACCUGUGUUAUGGGCAUAUCGAACAACCUUGAGACGAGCAACGGGAGAAACUCCCUUCUCAUUAGUUUAUGGGAUGGAAGUAGUAGUCCUGGCCGAGUUGAAUGUUGCCGGUUUACGCCGGAGCGAAGCUCCACUUAACGAAGAACUAAACUCUAAAUCAUUAGAAGACGUUCUCGAUACAAUCGAUGAAAGGCGAGACCAAUCCCUUAUUCGACUUCAGAACUAUCAACAGUUGACCGCUCGAUACUAUAAUUCAAAGUUGAAAAAACAGACCUUUAAAUGUAGGAGACUUUGUUUUAAGGCGAGUGUUCGAUAACAAAAAAGAAGAAGGAGCUGAAAAACUCGGUAUUAACUGGGAAGGCCCUUAUCAAAUCACAGAAAAAUCCGAAAUGGUGUAUACCGUUUAAUAGACCUUGACGGAAAUCCCGUUCAAAGGCCUUGGAACAUCAUCAACUUGAAAAAGUUCUAUUGCUAAAGCAAACAUAUUGAACUACGAUUUGGUUUGAUCCUAUUUUGGGUAUGUAGGCAGCUCGCUAAACACGAGUCCAGCUAUAAUCAUAAAAAUAAAAAUAUAAUUCCAAUCAUGGGAUCUUGUUUUUAUAAGUUUGAUAUUCGAGCAUAAAUAUAAAAAUACGUUGCGAACAAUGUAAGAAGAAAUAUUUUUAGCUAAAGGAAAAACCAGAUCUAGAAGGGUCUUGGAUUACGGAAUAGCUCUGCUCCUUGGCCUGCGAGGUCAACGAUGCUCAGAGUACAACCUGGCAUGUUUCCGUACUCUUGUAGGCCUAUCUCGAUCCAAUCAGAGGGAUGGGCUUCGAGGCGAUGAAGCUCGCGAGCAAUAUCGAGGCGACGCUUCUCUAGUUCCAUUCUUUUUCUUCUAAUCUCUCUUUUCUCAUCUUCGAGCUCUUUAUGCCGAGUAAUAAGCUGAGAAAACAAAACGCUUCGUUUAACAAACAACGAAAGGAGUCAGGUUACUAGGUUGAACAAUACCUUGUUAAUAAACUCUUUAGCCUUGACACGAUCUUGAGCCGAUAAUCUCCCGAUUAACACAUUUGGAACCUGAAUGCUGGUUCCCCACCCUAAUGGGCGAGACUCUUCUGGUUCGCCAUUUGCUUCUGUUUUUACAAGCUCGAUGUCUGACGUUUCCGGAAGACCACCGCUUAUCUUUUUAAACGAAUCGGAGGGAUUCUCUGAAGAACUACCUUCCUCGAACAUUUUUUUAGAAUUAUUGUUGAUUAAAUUCAAUAAUGAGCGACACUUACUUUAUAUUCGAAAUAUACUCAAUCACAUUUAAGAGGAUUAAUUGACGAUUUCCCAAAAUCUGAAAUUAUUAUCUUCGUGGAAAAUGUAAUCGGGUUAAUCACUAAUUAUAUUCCCUAGAUAUAGCGCAUUAAAUAAGAUUUGAGUAAAUCGGCAAAUUUAAGGCAAAAAGGGAAAUAUAAUUAAUAUUGAUGGGCCACCAGUCCAAUAGUAUGUUACAAAAUUAAAAAAAGUUAAUUAAGAAGGAGGAGGGUUCGCAGAAGGAACUUCGUCUGAUGACGAACCGUUUUCGCGUUCGUCGGAUUCGAGGCUCCUUUGGUAGAUAUCCCAAUGCUUCAGGAACCUGAUGUGUUCUCGAAGACAGCCGGGAAUGCGGGCGAUAGAAUCAAAUCCCCUCCUCUCCUAGUUGUGAACAUCCGACUCCAAACGUCUGAUCUUCCUUUCCGUUCUAGCAAUCCGAUCCUCGAGGUUACGAUGUUUCAUUCCGAGGCGUUGCCUUUCGGAGCAGAGGGAAACGUACAUUUCCGUGAUCUGCAAAGAACAGAUACAUUACGAAUCUAUCAAGUAAAACCUUGAAACCAUGGUACUGGGUUCAAACCUGCUCCAUGAAUUCAUGGCACUCGAUCUGUUCUUCCUUAGACAUGGAAGAAAGAAAACAAAGGAAUUGCCACCCCUUGUGGAAUGAAUCCAUCCCCCGUUGGGAAAAGAGAUUCGCUUGAAGUGAAUCGUGGUGGAUUAGGAUCAGAAGGUUCGUCUUGGGGAGAAGCCAUCAAAAACAACUAAAAAGAAAAGGUUUAUUGGGAAAUUCCCAAAAUCUUACUCUCCUUAUAUAGAAAAAAUAUGUAAGGUUACUCACUUGAGUAUUUAUUGAAAAAGGAAGUUAAACGUCAAUCUAUUGAUCUGACAGUUAUGACCUUUCGAUUUUCGUGUACAUGUACAAACAAUACCUACAAAACAUAGGUUAUUCAAGUAUCACUUAACACCUAGUAGGCGAACUGAAUUUCGAACGUGAAAUUCAAGGACAGUUAAUAAAUGGUAUCAAACCUUUUUUGUCCUCUUCGAGAAAAACAAACAGUUCUCACUAAGAUUUUUCUAAUCGAACACAUUUCGAAGUAUCACGAAGUGUUCUUGUAAGCCGAGCUCUAACCUCGCAACCGAGAGACCGAGAAAAAAUUAUAAUGUUUUUUCUUUAAAAAAGGUAAGUGGGUCUGAUCAACCUAUCUCUCCUAUAAUUCUAAAGCAUGUCGGUUAGGAGGACUUUGCAAACCCUCCAGGUAAAAUCGAUGGUUUCUACCAAAAAUAAAUAUUUCUUUCUAAAGAAAUUUUGAUUAAAAACCCCCUUGGGCAAAUUAUUCAAAACAGUACUAAAAGCCCCCUUGGGCAAAAAACUCAAAAAGUAACAAACGGCCCCAUGGCCGACAAAGCAAGUUUUAUGUCUUAAAAUAAAAGGGACAUUCCCCAUAAAAAGGUGAGUACAAUCACCAUCAUUCAUUCAUAGGCGAACCGCCUCCAUCUCCUACUUGGCUUAAGACAGGAGCACCUCCGACGGGAGCAUCUUGAGCUGUGAGAACAACCUCAGGGAUAAGCGAGCUAGCAGGAUCCUGACUAGAGAACUCCUGAGUUCGUUCCGAAGAAAUUUUGUCAACAUUGGUUCUGAAAUCAUUAAAAUGAGCACUAGGGGAACCAGUUAACAUCAUUUCAUCCAAAGACAAACCGGUAUUAGGUUCGGUCAAUGGAGGGGAAUCAGCGAACUCAGAGGCAAAUUGCUGUAAAUCUAGAUAUGGCUGAGGAACGGUAGCUAGCUUAGCUUCAGUCUCAGCGAGCUCAGUGCCAACUGUCUCUUUUUCUUCGGCCAAAUUAAUUGAUCCUUCCCCUAUCUCCUUGAUUAGAUCGAGAUUGCUCUUCAGCUCAUCACGUUCGGAGUUAUGAUUGUUCCAAGCUUUAUCUGCAGAAAUAAAUUUCUGCACGGCAAGAAGGAACUUUUGCCCAACUCCUUUAACCUCUUUCCGAGCAUCAUGAGAUAUCUUGCGAACAUCCUGAUCUUUCAGUUAGGAAAGAGAUUCAUUUUUGCGUUCAAGCUCCUCAGCAGCUGUCUUGACCUUGCUAAGCUCUGAUUUCAGAAGCUCAAUCUCGCCCUUCGCGAAGUUAUGAUCAGCAAGGGCAGUUUUCAGCUUUUGCUCUGUCUCGGCCAAAAUCUUCCUUGUCUCCUCGCCAGAUUUUUCGAGUUGCUCGAUUUCUUUCUGACGAGCUGAGUCAAGACCAGCCGUCUCCUUCGCAAGCUGGUUGGAAAUUUGGAGUUUCUCAAUCUCUCCUUCGGCAAUAGUAGCUCUCUUGGAAACUUUGGUAAACUCCUCCUCGUAAUGGUUGAUGAUGCUGUUCACAUCCAGGGUUGCCUGAUAAAAAGAGAUGCGAUAAGAAAAAGGAGAUUCAAAAUCAAAGGUUUACAGAUUCAAAUAAUCAAACCUGAGAGGAGUGGAAUCAAUGACUUAUAUACAUCUUCUUGAUGUCAUCCCUCCAGUGCCCGAAAGACGGAAGUUUCUUCCCAGAGCGAGUAUGGAAACAGAGCGAGUAUGGAAACAUCUUUAGAUGUUUCCAAUCUUCUCUUUAUCUAAGUGAAAAAUAUUCGUAUGAGUAUAGAAUUCCUUAAAAAAUCAGCUAAAUCUCCAGUAUCAAGAGAUUAAUUGAGGAUUACCUGAUGGAGAUGAAGCUCUGGCAACUAGUCCUGAGCUCGGAGAUGAUCGAGCUCUAGAGGUAUUACCUCGAGGACGCCUGGGGGGUAGCAUCCCUGAACUCAGUGGCUCUCUCAGGACAACUCCUAAAUCAGGAUUCCUACCCUGAAUGUCAGCAGAUUCAGGAACUGGAAGACUUGAAGAAAUAGCUUCGGCUUUCCUCGUGCUCUUGGACCUUCCCUGAAGCGGGGGUUCAGGAUCCUCAGCCUUCUUCUUCUUCGUAAAAGAGGAGCCAUCUAAGGGACCUCCUUCUUCAGCAGUGACAGCAACCAUGAUGUCUGCUGCUGGGGAUGAGGAAGGGGCAUUGUUUAUGGUGACCGCCAUUGAUUUUGAACCUUCGAGGGACCCGUCAUCAACUAGGAGAGUUUUCCGGUAGACUUUUUCGUCCCCGGCGGAGGAUGCGUUUUUCUUGUUUUUCCCAAUCUGAGAGAUCUGAUCUUUGACCUUCUUGUCCGCUUCUCUGAUCCUUCUCCUAUCUCGGGCGUUUAAACUCGAGAGAUAAAUUUCAGCAGGAGGAGGAUCGACGGAUGAGUAAGGCCCAUUCUGACGGAAUGUCCGGCACCGUAAAUUCUCUCCAAAGAAAAAGAAUUCCAACUAACUGGCCUCUCGAUGACAGCCUUGCAAAAAUUGAAGAAGUCAACAGAGGAAACUGGCCUAAUUUGGGAACCUGCGGAAAAACGAGAAAAGCGCUAACACAGUUUAAAGUAACCUGAAAAACUUAUUUAUUUAAGUCCUAGUUUCUACCCAAAUUCGAUGACCAGUGAGUUCGGAGGAGUUCGGAAGAACCCUGAACGGAAAAACUAUUUAUACGGAAGAAAAACCAAAACUUCUUCCAGGCGUUGUCUUUUAAAGGCAGGCCGUCAAUAAGGUUCCGAUCUGCGAUCGGAUAAAGGGCAUAAUACCCAGAAGAUCGGGAUUCACGAGCCUGGAAUAAUUCCAAAAGCUCGCUAAGUCCCAGCGAGUAGCCCGCCUCCGCCGCAACUGUGAAGGUACACAUAAGAUACUGGAGCAUGUUGGGCGACAUCUGAGAGAAGGCAAUUCCCAGAUGGUUGAGGUAGGUAAGAAGAAUCUCGGGAAGGGGAAGGAACAAUCCGCACCCUUUGAAAUAAAUUUCAUAGGCGCAACAAUACCCCUCUCGCCCCGAUUCUGGAGACUCGUAAGGCUCCGGUACCACCAUCUCCACUUCGGGGGGAAUGUGGCAUAAGCGACGGAGAUCAUUGAGAGAAUCGAUGGACGAUUGACUCUGGGGGUGAAGAUCAAACUCGCCUCCUGUUUGGGUUUGAGGUUCGGUUCCCUCACCCAUGAGAGCUUCGAGAUCAUCAGCCUCAUAUUCGCGGAAUUCAGAAGGGAGGUUCGACAUUUUACAGAAGGGAUUUUUACCGAAAGAAAACAACGACUUCUGUAAUGGGAAUAAAAGUUUUCUAGGUAAAGAAGAUAAGAAGGAAAAGUAAUAUUACCUCUUAGAACCCUAAAGUACGAUGGAAGACCGCCUCGAGAAUAUUGGGAAGUGGGAUAAUUUUUCCCGCAGUAUUAAUAUAAAAUUAAGAAAUUAAUGAUGACGGUUGUCAGGGAUAUCAAAUCACUUGAUUAUCUGAGAUCGGCGUAAUAGCGUAAAACAUGGAAUAAUUCCAGAGUAUUAAAGAUCUCGAUUCGUUAAUUACUGUUUACUUAAGUCUUCCAAGCCGAGCACUCAGCUCGCAAGACUUGGGGGGCUAAAUGUUGGGGUCGGAUCCCACACAUCUUCGGUAGGAUCCACUUGGAUCUGUCCACGUCAUUAUUACAUAAUAAUCCUCUUGGAAAAGAUAUUUUAUUAUAAGAAUCGAGCUUAACCAGUCGGGAGUUCGGUUCGGUCCAGUAGAAGAGCUCGAUCCUUGCCAGUAUGGAGUUCGCUCUUAUUCGACAGACAGUUCGCAUAGAGAAAGGUCGAAGCGAGGAGAAUAUUGUUCGAGGCUCGCGGUAGCGUCAAGACGCGGGAGUUCGGAGUCAGCAAGAAAGAGUUCGGAAGAUCCACGCGAAGCCCAAAAUAGUUCAAAUUCAAGCCGUUUCGGUCAAAUUGUAACGUACAUGAUUAAUGCAGAUCAAUGCGAUUAUGAGCAGUAAAUGACCGAAUUGAUCAUGUUUUCUCUAUAAAAACAACUUCAAACGCAUGUGUUUGGAGGAGGAAUCUUUUGACUGAUUACUUCUAAGCAAUACAAUAUACUUUCUUUCUUUAUUACUUUCGCAAGGCAUUUUGUACUUCGUUCUUGUCAAAUUUCUUUACUUCUUUUCUUGGUUAUUUUCCCUUUCGAAUUCUUAUAUUCAUUUUUGCUGAUUUUACAAGAGUUUUUCUCCACUGAAAUACUUAAAGACAAUCGAGUGUGAAUCCUACAUCCACAUUUAUCAUCAUGUUUUUAAUGUUUUUAUUGAAUUUUACGUAUUUUUUUGUUAAGUAUAUUCUACGUUUUUAUGGAUUGUAAUAUUACCUUUUGUAAUCUUAUGUUUUUAUAUAUUUAUUUUCGAUUUUGCAAAUAAUUUUUUUUUAUUAAUGAUACCAAUACUGGUCUCACCACUAGAAACAAAUUUACUACCAGUAUCAUAAAAAAUCUCAAAAAAUAAACAAACAUUAAAAUUAAUACUAAAAAAUACUCUAUGAGUACCAGCUAUGUGCAUGCUCUAAGAUCAAGAAAGGUGCUUGAGUUAUGUUUACAUUCAAACCCAAAGAAAAUUGAAAGAAAACGAUUUCUGACCUAGCCAUCUAGCAAGUGAUAUUUAGGAUACUUUGUAACUUGAAUUUGUGUGCAUUGUUUCUUAAUCUUUGUGAUGAUAUACCAAACACUGAUUUUGAAUUGGUUAAGUUAGAGGCUUUUACCACACUAAUCAUGAAUUAGCCUAAUUAUUAGAGUUUCAUUACCUCGAAAAUAUGUAAAUUGCAUGAUUUCUAACAUCUUGAUUGUUCACAGUUUGCUCAUUUUAGCACUUUGUUUAGUUUAGUUUUCAAUUCACAUACUAGUUUAAUUGCUUUCAUUUUUUUUUUUUAAUUGCUUUAAUUUACUCAGUGUUUUGCCCUUAUUUUACAUCUACGCUAACGUAUAAUUAGAAGUUCUAGCUAGUAGUAAACCGUAAAUCUCAUACCAUUUCAGGUCCAAAUGGUUUCGUCAUAAUUUAGUGGGUUAUGACAUUACUAUGAUUACAUACCGUGCAUAUGUGGUAAUGAGUAUUUAUGGUUAAAAUUUUAUAAAACCUGAGUAGACAAAAUCAAUCACAUUCGCAGUUAAACAGAAUCAGGAACAGAGAAAACUUGUUAUUACAUAACUUUAUUUACCUUAAAAAACUUAGUCUUAUUCAUGAUCAUUAAUGAUAACUUAGUCUUAUCCAAUAUUGGAUAACUACAUUAGCUUAAACAACUUCCACAGACUCAAGAAACAGAACUUAAAAUUUCACACAAUGAUUAGACCAAAUUAAAGUCAUUAAGCAAAAUAAGAAAGUUUGAGCUCCGAUGAAUUCCAACGCUAUACUCCGUCCUAGAGAUACAAACAAACAAACAAACAAACAAAAGACCUCACUUGCAGCUCCUUCAAGGCUCUUGGAAUUGCGGCAAACCCUUUCCACGUAUACUAAUUUUUGGCCCUUCUUGUCAAAACCCAAACUAGACCAAACUCUUUUACUCGUGCAGUUGUACCGUGUGUUCCAAUUUUAGGGUCCGAUUUGUCUCAUUUCCUCUGAUCUUGUUGUUAGCCCGAAGUAAUGUUUUGGUCUCGUGAGCUCUCAAUUGUUCUAGUGGUUUCUGAAUCUGCUCUUCUCUCCUUGAUGGGCUUUAUUAUGAUUUCUCUGGUUCGGUCUUGUGUUAUUCUUCUCCGAGUAUAAUGUUUUUCGGUUUGAGGUUUGUUUAGCUCUUUGUCUCUAUAAUCAAGACAUGAUCGAGAUAUGGUCAGUUCAUGGCUUCUAACGAGGCGUCAAUUGGUUGUGGAAUUUGACAGCGCCUUUUCUGGAAAAUCUUUGGGAUUGAGUUUCAUAAGUAUUAUGCAUCUUUUUUUUUUUUCCGAAACAGAAGUCUAGAUUCAAUCAGUUUGAAAGAUACAUGGUUUCACUAUAAAUGUUUUGUUAGCUACAUUAUAGACUCGUUUAUGUGUUUUUUUUUGUAGUUAGUUUUGUUUAUUUAUUUAUUUAUUUGGGGAGUGAGUUUGGUAAGUUGUUUCUGUUUAAUUUGGGUAUAAAAUUAUUUUUUGUUUUGUUUUUGUUUUGGAUUGUAAAUUUUUUAUUUUAUUUAUGUUCUCUUUAAUUUAGAGUUUUGUUUACCUUUUAGCAAUAUGCUUACAUGGAUUAAAUUGUUUUUUGUCGACGUAUGUAAUUUUCACUUAUGUCAUUCUUUCAUGAUAAUGAAAACUAGAUUCGGACCCGCACGUUCGUGCGGAAAUAUGUUAAUAGACUUAUUUGGUUUCAAUUUGGUUUAGAUAAAAAAAGUAAUCAGAUUUGUUUUGUUAUGAGUAAGGGCUUGAUUGGUUCUCCCGCUAGCACCUUCCUAGCGGUUGCUAGCGGUCGGUUGCGGUUGUUAGCGGUUGGUACCAAUCAUAGAAACCGCUCUGUACCGCUUCAAACCGCUCGAAAUCGCUGAAUUUCAAAAGCUCCGUCCCGCAAGCGUUUGCGGUUGCGGGCGGUAGCGGUUGGAUUUAAAAAAAAAAAAAAUCAAACGUUUACUUAUAAUUAUUAUAAAAUAUAUAAUCUUAUAUAUAUCUUUCAUCUUUGUAUCACGUUCUCAUCAGAAACCCUAAUCAAUAUUCUACAACCUUAUUUUCUCAAUGUCUUCCAUCCAAACUGAUGAAAAUCAAUUUGAAUAUUUUUUUCUUUUCAUUAUAUAUAUUGUUUUUCUUUUUGAUAGAAUAUAUGUUUCGAUUUGUUUUCUCGAAUAGAAAGUUACUUGCUUUUUGAUUGAAUUCAACGUUAUUUACAGUUUGUCCCAUUACUUGAUACAAUUUUUGGUGUUAACCCAGCAUAAAAUACUAUCUUAUUAUAAAAUUUCUUUAUUUUUGAAUAAUUAUUUAGUACUUUAUUUAUGGUUUUAAUUAUUAAGCAUGUUCAAUUUUUCUAAUAUUAUCAUAAUAAUAUCUUGGUGUUUUUAUUUCUUUUUUUUGUAAUAUUUUUUAUUUUUUUAGUCAUUUUUUAUUUAACUGCUACCGCACCCGCUGGUUUACCAGUCAUAAACCUUCCGCAAACGCAUCCAUUUUCAAAUGCUAAACCAGUCGUUCAAAACGCUUGGUAACGCUUGAAACCGCAACCGCCCGCUUCCGCAAACUUCCGCAACCGCAACCGCAACCGCUGCGUUUAAACCAGUCAAGCCCUAAGAGACAAAUACAUUAAAAUAGAGAUAAUGAGAGAAAGGUGGUAUGUCCAUUUCGAGAUAGAAAACAUGUCUCGUCCCAUAUAUGUCAGGACCUUUCUAUCUCAUAACCGUUAAAAAAAAAACUAUCCGUUUAGGAUUGUAUAUUUUAGUCCAACAGAUAAGGAAAUAGAUAUGACAUUCUGAUGAAAAACCCGUAUUUCAUGUACUUUUCGUUUGUGUAUUUAAUUUUAGUGAGAGUUUGAGAAUUGAAUUUAGCUACCUGGAAUUUCGGUUUCCGUCCCGUUACCCAUAAUUCUCGUCCCGGAUUUUAUCGAGAAUAGUUUGGAUAGUAUUUUUCAUUUUCUAAAUACCCGUUCUUGUCCCAUAUCCGAUAUUUUCUGAAUUAUAGAGAAUUAAUUUUUUGUAUAUUAAUAAUUUGAAUUUCCCGUUCAUGUCCCGUCCCUAUGUGAUAUAUCCCGAUACUUCUAAAAUUUGGUUUGGUGUAUAUUAUUAAUUAUGGUAACUAAGCUACAUUAAUAUUUCUGAUAUUUUAAUUUUCUAAUUUUAUUUAUUUAUUUGAUCAAACUAAAAUAUAUAAAUAUUUUAUUUAUUUAUUUUCAUACUAUUCAAAUUCUAAUUUAUAAGUGUCUUGUUAGAAAAUAGAAUUUAAUUUGAGAAACAAUUGUUGGCGAUGGCACAAAACGUAAAACAUACUAAAACAAUAUCAUUUUAAUACAAUAACUAGAUUUUAACCCGCGGUACACCGCGGGGCUAUACUUUAAACAAAAGUUUGAAAAUUAUCUAUAGAUAUAACCUAUUGUUUUGUUUGGUUAAAUAUACUUACAUAUGUAUAUAUUAUAUAUAUUACCCCGCGAUACUUCGGGUCGAUUUUUUAUAACAAUAAUUUUUAAAUUUUAAGUUGUAUUUUUUUGUUAAUAUUAUUUAUUUUAUUUAGUGUUUAAGAUUAUAUAACUGUAUUUGAUUGUUAAUCCUAGGAUUUCACCCGUAGUAUACCGUCCCGUAUUAAUAUCGACCCAAACCCGUCCCACCAUAUAACCCGUCCCAUGAAAUUAAACAUCAUUUUGUUAUAUUUCGUUUUAAUAAUAUUUUUAUUUAAAAACAUAUACAAUUCGAGUCAAUUUAUAAGUUUGCUUUAAAAAACAUAUAGUUGUAAUGUUUUUAUUAUAAUAAAGUAAUAAUAUAUAGAUGUUGCUUACUAUAGUUAUAAUCAAAACCAACUAAAAAUCUAAGUUUAGUGUUGAUUAUGAAUCAUAGUUACGACCAAAAAAAAAAUUAAUCAAAUACAAUUAGUGUAAAUUAACUAAUUAAGAAAACAAACAGAAAUAUAACAAAACUUGCUUUAAAAUCGUUAACAAAAAAAGGAAACAUCAUAUUUAAGCAAGAUCUUUGGAGCCAAAAUCUUUUUUUCAUAUCUUUUAUUUAAUUUUCCAAAUCUUAAGAAUUAAAUCCAGUGGCAUUCCAUUGUAAAUAGUAGUGAAAGCCAGGAUUUAUUUCAUAAUUGUAUUCAAAAAUGUAUAUAUAGAUAUUAUUAAAAUAGACAUUCAAAUAUCUUUUAAUUAUUUUAAUUUAGUUGGCAUAAUUAUAGAUUUCACGUAGUUUUGGAAUAGUUAUACUAUUAAUCCGUUUAGUUAUGGAAAUUUUAUUAAUUAUAUUGAUUUUUGUAUUGGAAUAUUCCCCUAUAUUUCCGAAAAAUAUAUAUAUACAUAUAUGAUAUAUUAGUUUUGAUUGUGUCAGUGGAAUAUACUACUUUCAAAUUAUUUUGUACCUUCUUACUAUUUUUUUUUGUUAAAUUUUUUAAUGCAAUUAUUUUACUGGCAUUCUAUGUAAUAUUCUACAACUAAAAGGUUUUUUAGUUUUUAGUGAUUCUCAAUUAAUAGUAUAGAUUAUGACAAAAAAAAUCCCAUAUUAAAAGAAAAAACUAGUUGUUUGAAAAGAUAAAAGAAAAUGACUUUGGAUUGUGAUUUAAAUCAUGCCUGAAAAAUUUUAUUUUAUCAAAUUUGUGAUUUAAAUUUUGUAAACCGGUUUUUGAUAUUGAUCAGUGUUAGCGUUUUUUAGCGGUAGGGCUUGAUUGGUUCUCGCGCUAGCACCCGCCUAGCGGUUGUUAGCGGUUGGUUGCGGUUGUUAGCGGUUGGUACCAAUCACAGAAACCGUUCUAUACCGCUUCGAGCCGCUCGAAAUCAUUGGAUUUCAAAAACUCCUUCUCGCAAGCGUUUGCGGUUGCGGGUGGUAGCGGUUGGAUAUAUAAAAAAAAAAUCAAACGUUUACUUAUUAUUAUUAUAAUAUAUAUUAAUCUUAUACACUAUAUAUCUUUCAUCUUUGUAUCACGUUCUCAACAAAAAAAACCCUAAUCAAUAUUUUGAAACCCUGUUCUCUCAAUUAUGUCUUCAAUCCAAACGAUGAAAAUCAAGAACCCAAAGAAGAACCCAAAGAAGAACCCAAAAUCAGAUUUCUAAGUGGUGCUCAAAGGAAAAAUAUUCUUAAGAAUAUUAACGACUGGUUUGGAAUUGUUUUGAAUUGGAACUGUGUUAAAAAAUCGUUUGGAUACCUUGAAAAAACUCUAUAAUAUUUAUAAAAGAAAUCCAGAAAAUUAGCGAAUUUAAUAUUAUUUGCAGUUUAUCCCAUUACUUGAUGCAAUUUUUUUGUGUUAAACCAGAUACAUAAAGUACUAUCUUGUUACAAAAUUUCUAUAUUUUUGAAUAAUUAUUUAGUACUUUAUUUAUGGUUUUAAUUAGUAAGCAUGUUCAAUAUUUCUAAUAUUAUCAUAAUUAUAUUAGUAUUUUUAUUUCUUCCUUAGAAAUAUUUUUUAUUUAUUUUGGUUAUUUUUUAUUUAACAGCUACUGCACCAUCCGGUUUAUCAUUCAUAAUGCUCUAGCAAACGUAGCCAUUUUCAAACGUUAAACCAGUCGUUUAAAACGUUUGGUAACGCUUGAACCUGCAACCGCCCGCUUCCGCAAACUCCCACAACCGCAAUCGCAUCCGCUGCAUUUAAACCAGUCAGGACCUAAAUUGGAACUGGGCUAGAUGGGCUAUCCCGGUAGAACCGGUCCGAUUGACCGAUCUGGUCCUGUCUGGUUAUCAAACACUGCAAUUACCGCAUCUUGUGUUGUAAACCGGACCGACCAUGAAUUCACUUUGAUCCUAAAAUGUCAAUCAAUGCUAAUUUUUUAAGGAAUUAAAUCUCUCUAGCCCCUUUUCCUCCAAACAUUCUUUCAAAAACCCUCACUUAUUCUCACUACCCCUCUCCUUCCCAAUACAUUUAAAAACCAACUAUACCCUUGCCUUUUAUCCAAUUUAUUUCUACAUUAAAUUUUAUUACCAACAAAUUCUUAAAAGCAACCAAUCAUAUUCAUUCUCUCUCCUCUCUCAUUAACUACCAAAAACCUUAAAAAAUUAGAUUAUUCUUCUUCUUCUUACGACAUAUUUCCUCUCCUCUCUUCUUCUUCUUCUUCUUUUUUUUUCUUCUCCAUCUCCAAAGACAUAUCUCAUCUCUUCUUCUUCUUCUCCAUCAAAAAACUUUUAAAAAAAUCAAAUUCUUCUUCUUCUUACGAUUCAAGCAUCUUCAAUGACAUAUUUCCUCUCUAUUUCUUUUUCUCCAUCCACCAUUAAAGCUCGUUGUUUACUUCUUCUUCUCUAUCCACUAGUAAGUAUACUUAUUUUUUUAGUGAAUUAUGAUUGAGAAAAGUUGAAUUCGUAGCUUGAAUGCAGUUUUUGGUAGAAAAAAUUGGGAAUUGUAGAUUUAGAACAACUGAAACCAUUAGGUACAACUAAGUAUAAUAUUACCGAAACCCUAAAUUUGGUGCAAUUGGGACAAAUGAGUACAACUAUGUUGAUGGACUGCUACGAAAAAUAUAAAAUUAUAGACCAUUUUCUUUCUCUCUUUCUUUUUCAGGGACAAUAAAAAAGAAUUCAGUCAUGCGCUUUAAUUUGCUUGUGCUUAUGCUUUGGAGAACAUAGAAGAAAAUGAGGUAAGAAGAGGUCGAAGAGGCCGAGUAGUUUAAGCGAGUGGUUUACCAAUGAUGGUAACAAUGAUGGUGACGUUGAUGGGACGAUGAGGGUGACCAAGGUUGAUUUCUAAGUGCCAUUAUUAGGAUGAUUUAAGAAGCGAUGUUGUUUGUAUUGGUUUUGUUUGUGAAACUUACUUGUUCUGUUUCGUACAACUAAGUUUUAACAGAUACAACUCUGGUUGAUUUUUUUAUCGUAUCUAUACAAAUUAAAUUGUUUUGUCUUGGUACAACUAAGUACAACCUGUACAACUAAGGUCUAUUGCCUUGGCUAGUUUUCAGAGUUUUAUAUAAUAUGAAAAUUUAAAACCAAAUAAAAAAAUCUUAAAAAAUGCAUACUCGGUGGUAAUGAAACUACACAAGAAGUUUUUGACAAAAAAAUUCAUAUUUUCCUAAAUUAGUGAAAUUCUUAUCACAAAAUCUCACAUUCAUACACUAACAACCUUAUACUUCCAUUGUUACUUUGUAGAUUUGAACUAAAAAAUUUUAAAUUUUUGAAAUACUUGUAUUUUGAUAAAUAUAACUACACUCAUACAAAGAAAUGGUAUUUUUGAUGAGACAAUACCAUCGGUUCCACCCACAAAAAUUAAUUUAGAGUUGAUAACAACUAGAUUUACUAAAUUCUCGAUAUUGUACAACUAUGAGCAAAAAUGUGCAACCGAGUACAACUGUACAACUAUGAACAAAUUUUAGAUAUUUAUGUUAGAUAUUUCUCAGAUAUUUUUAGAUAUUUGUAGAUAUUUCUUUUAUUUUUUAUUUUAAUCAAAAUACUUAGAUUCACAAAAAAAAAAAAAAAGUAAAAUACUUUUUUUUUCAACACUAUAUAUUUUUUAACAUACUUAGUAGAUUCAUAGUGUUGUUGUGAAUUUUUUGAUCAAAACACUUUGACUCAUAGUUUUUUGGUGAUUUUUCUGUCAAAAAAACUUAGAUUCAUACAAACCCAGAUACAUAGUUGUACAUAAGUGUACCAGUUGUACCUAAACACUUAGAUUCAUGAAUAACAUUAGAAACCAAAACACAUCUGAACACACCAAGUCUUCUUCUGCUUCUUCUUCUCCUUAUCCUUCUCUUUCUCCUUCUCCUUCUCAGUCUCAGUCUCAGUCUCCUUUUCUUUUUCUUCCUCUCGUAAUAGAGAAACAAAUGUUAUAGGCUAAUAUAUACGUACAAAAAAUUUCAUCUAUGUCUGCAAUCCACUCCUUAUUAACUUACUUGAAACCAGAUUUCUUCCAAAAUUGACCAAGAGAAAUCAAUCAUUUUAAGAAGAGUUUACAAACAAAGUUACAACUUUCACUCAAUAUCUCCAAAUAAAAACAAGAAAAAGUAGCUACAUGUCGUCCGAAUUUCAAACCCGAAUUGUAAUUCAAAUCCUAUUAGUAAUCUUAAAAUCCGAACUGUAAUCAUAAAAAAUCCUAAUUGUAAUCGAAAUUCCAUUCAAAAUGCAUUUGUUUCAAACAAAAUCAAAGAGAAUUACAUAUCAAACCCUCACAGAGAAGAAUAAAUUGGAAGAAAUCAAAUCCUAAUUAAACCCAACACAAUAAAACAAAAUUAGGGAUCAAACAAAUGAAAUCUUAUAAAGAGAAGACACGGCGGAGUUCUCACGGCGGAUUUCUCGAUUUCACUGCGAAUUUCUCACGAAGAAGAAGAGAGAGGACGGAUCUUUGGAUCGAUAGAAACGAGUGAAGAGGGAAGAUGAAAAAGAUGAAUGAGUAUCGAUGGAAUCGAGAAAAGAGAGAAAAAAAAAGAAGAAAGAAAAAGAAGAAAAGAGAUUGAAAGCUUUGUGUUUGUCGGAUUGUUGACUCGAGACAGAGAGAAACGAAGAAGAUGAAAAAGUCGU
RNAcentral lists this long non-coding RNA (27984 nucleotides) under Arabidopsis lyrata. RNAcentral's name for it is "long non-coding RNA (ALYR_LNC002030)". The record is from RNAcentral. Lineage: Eukaryota; Viridiplantae; Streptophyta; Magnoliopsida; Brassicales; Brassicaceae.